This is a long non-coding RNA of Triticum dicoccoides, 722 nucleotides long. RefSeq lists it as uncharacterized. The transcript has 4 exons. Lineage: Eukaryota; Viridiplantae; Streptophyta; Magnoliopsida; Poales; Poaceae. The record is from RefSeq and is a predicted model, not a curated record.
CUCCCAUACCCCGCCGUCGCCACUCCACCUUCCCUCCUCACGUCGCUCCCUGUUGCCGCCGGCGUUGAACCAUCAUGCACCAGCCGCCUCCCAUCUAUCCCACAGCAGACCCCUCCCCGUCUACCUCACUCCAUGGCCCUUCUAUGCAGAUCGCGCCCUCGACCUGCGGCAGCCCAGUCCCGCAUCUCGAGCUGAUGCGGCCACGGUGGCGGCGGGACUGACUGCCGGGUUUGGAACCCCCUGAUGUCGCCGACGGCGGGCACGGAUCCAGCUCCAUCCGGUGGCGAGACACACACACGCGCUUCUCCUCGAAUGGUCAGCCGCAAAUCUGAGACGCACGACGACGCACCGGCCGCAUCGAUUUCAACUGGUAUUGCUGAAGCUAUCCACGAGAACCAUUUCCUCUCCUACACAAUUCCUGCUAUAGGAACUGAAUAUCUCAUGAGAAAAUCACGCACAGGGGGCAGCUCCUUGCAAUGUAUAGUGCAAUGCCUGAUCUAGUACAUAUGUUGUCCCAAUGGAUAUGGGCAUUUACAACUGAUUUGAGAUCCUUUCAUAUAACUACCAUCACUAUCACCAGGAGGAUAGUUUCUAAAAUGAAGCCUACUAGGUAUAGCAGAGAAGUGAAUGUGCGACGGUGAUGUCGAUUGUUGGCUGCCAGUGUGGACCAACAAAUAUGCCGAGACAAACAGCAGUUGAUGGAAGCGUCCAAAUCGAGCCAG